AGCAGCCGCGGUAAUUCCAGCUCCAAUAGCGUAUAUUAAAGUUGUUGCAGUUAAAAAGCUCGUAGUUGAAUUUCGGGAUCAAUUAGUCGGUCGUGCCUCUGGUACGUACUGGUUUUAUUGGUUCCUCCCUUCUGACGAAACAUGAUGUCAUUAAUUUGGUGUCGUGGAGAAUCAGGACUGUUACCUUGAAAAAUUAGAGUGUUUAUAGCAGGCUAACGCUUGAAUACAUUAGCAUGGAAUAAUGAAAUAGGACGUUCGACCCUAUUUUGUUGGUUUCUAGGAUCGACGUAAUGAUUAAUAGGGAUAGUUGGGGGCAUUAGUAUUCAAUUGUCAGAGGUGAAAUUCUUGGAUUUAUUGAAGACUAACUACUGCGAAAGCAUUUGCCAAGGAUGUUUUCAUUAAUCAAGAACGAAAGUUAGGGGAUCGAAGACGAUCAGAUACCGUCGUAGUCUUAACCAUAAACUAUGCCG
This 470-nucleotide ribosomal RNA is filed under the name uncultured Glomus. Its description in RNAcentral is "SSU rRNA". It matches the Rfam family "Eukaryotic small subunit ribosomal RNA", at positions 569 to 1044 of the family's 1831-position model. Lineage: Eukaryota; Fungi; Glomeromycota; Glomeromycetes; Glomerales; Glomeraceae. The record is from RNAcentral.